AGAUACAAGUGUCAAAAGUAUAAAAAUUCGAUUAUGCUUUGCUUGCAAGAGAAUUUAUUAUCUUUUGACACGCAAAAAAUAUGAGUAAAUAGCUAUUUUUUUGCAAAAAAUGAGCGAAAUACGAUUAUUUUUGCAAGGACACGCAGAGGUGAAGCCGAAGCAAUCCUGUAUCA
Small RNA from Catonella morbi ATCC 51271, 173 nucleotides. It matches the Rfam family "Clostridiales-1 RNA". Lineage: Bacteria; Bacillati; Bacillota; Clostridia; Lachnospirales; Lachnospiraceae. The record is from Rfam.